AUAGGUCUUCUCUCACCACCAUCAGGUGGAACGUGGAAAACUUCUCGUGGUUCUUCUCUUGUUGGCAGAUUUGCACUUAAGAGAGAGAGCACCCCUUUUGAUUUGUUUGCUGUUUUAUGUUGAAAUAUAUUAAGGCUUGCAUGUUAUCCUGUUGGUUUGUAAGUGUUGGGGGAGUUUGUAGAGAGCCUGUGUGCUUUGAUCGUCAGUAUAGGAGAGGGAGAGACGUCUAUUGAAGCUUUUUGCUAGGACUUAAAAUGGGAAGGGCUACCCGUAAGGC
This 277-nucleotide unclassified non-coding RNA is filed under the name Hevea brasiliensis (rubber tree). The record is from RNAcentral. Lineage: Eukaryota; Viridiplantae; Streptophyta; Magnoliopsida; Malpighiales; Euphorbiaceae.